GUCCACGCCGUAAACGAUGGAUGCUAGCCGUUGGUGGGUUUACCCUUCAGUGGCGCAGCUAACGCAUUAAGCAUCCCGCCUGGGGAGUACGGUCGCAAGAUUAAAACUCAAAGGAAUUGACGGGGCCCGCACAAGCGGUGGAUUAUGUGGAUUAAUUCGAUGCAACGCGAAAAACCUUACCUGGCCUUGACAUGUAACGAACUUUCCAGAGAUGGAUUGGUGCUCGAAAGAGAGCGUUAACACAGGUGCUGCAUGGCUGUCGU
RNAcentral lists this ribosomal RNA (263 nucleotides) under uncultured bacterium. Its description in RNAcentral is "partial 16S ribosomal RNA". It matches the Rfam family "Bacterial small subunit ribosomal RNA", at positions 793 to 1055 of the family's 1533-position model. The record is from RNAcentral.